RNAcentral lists this ribosomal RNA (625 nucleotides) under Inocephalus plicatus. RNAcentral's name for it is "LSU rRNA". It matches the Rfam family "Eukaryotic large subunit ribosomal RNA", at positions 49 to 658 of the family's 3401-position model. Lineage: Eukaryota; Fungi; Basidiomycota; Agaricomycetes; Agaricales; Entolomataceae. The record is from RNAcentral.
AGCGGAGGAAAAGAAACUAACAAGGAUUCCCCUAGUAACUGCGAGUGAAGCGGGAAGAGCUCAAAUUUAAAAUCUAAUAGUCUAUGACUGUUCGAGUUGUAAUCUAGAGAAGCACUAUCCGUGCUGGACCAUGUAUAAGUCUCCUGGAAUGGGGCGUCAUAGAGGGUGAGAAUCCCGUCUUUGACAUGGACUACCAGUGCAUUGUGAUGUGCUCUCAACGAGUCGAGUUGUUUGGGAAUGCAGCUCUAAAUGGGUGGUAAAUUCCAUCUAAAGCUAAAUAUUGGCGAGAGACCGAUAGCGAACAAGUACCGUGAGGGAAAGAUGAAAAGAACUUUGAAAAGAGAGUUAAACAGUACGUGAAAUUGUUGAAAGGGAAACGCUUAAAGUCAGUCACAUUGAUCAGGGAUCAACCUUGCUUUUGCUUGGUGUAUUUUCUGAUCAAUGGGUCAGCAUCAAUUUUAAUCAGUGGACAAAGGCUGAGGGAAUGUGGCAUCAUUUGAUGUGUUAUAGCCCUCUGUCAUAUACAUUGGUUGGGAUUGAGGAACUCAGCAUGCCGCAAGGCCGGGUUUUAACCACGUUCAUGCUUAGGAUGCUGGCAUAAUGGCUUUAAUCGACCCGUCUUGAA